UGGGGAAUAUUGGACAAUGGGGGCAACCCUGAUCCAGCAAUGCCGCGUGUGUGAAGAAGGCCUGCGGGUUGUAAAACUCUUUCGCUUGGGAAGAUAAUGACGGUACCAAGUAAAGAAGCCCCGGCUAAUUUCGUGCCAGCAGCCGCGGUAAUACGAAAGGGGCUAGCGUUGUUCGGAAUUACUGGGCGUAAAGCGCGCGUAGGCGGCAUGCCAAGUUGGGGGUGAAAUCCCGGAGCUCAACUCCGGAACUGCCUCCAAAACUGGCAAGCUAGAGGAUGUGAGAGGAUAGUGGAAUUCCGAGUGUAGAGGUGAAAUUCGUAGAUAUUCGGAAGAACACCAGUGGCGAAGGCGACUGUCUGGCACAUUUCUGACGCUGAGGUGCGAAAGCGUGGGGAGCAAACAGGAUUAGAUACCCCUGUAGUCC
This 424-nucleotide ribosomal RNA is filed under the name uncultured prokaryote. Its description in RNAcentral is "bacterial SSU rRNA". It matches the Rfam family "Bacterial small subunit ribosomal RNA", at positions 355 to 796 of the family's 1533-position model. The record is from RNAcentral.